CGUCCGCAUGACCAUUUUAAGGACGGUAUUUGUGACAAUAUGUGCAGUUAAAUCAAUUUGUUUAGCAUAUUGCACAUCUCCCGGCCUAAAAAUGAACCGUGCUCUCU
This 107-nucleotide microRNA precursor is filed under the name Drosophila virilis. RNAcentral's name for it is "microRNA dvi-mir-311 precursor". Its record names the gene dvi-mir-311. The stretch from base 12 to 95 matches the Rfam family "mir-310 microRNA precursor family". Lineage: Eukaryota; Metazoa; Arthropoda; Insecta; Diptera; Drosophilidae. The record is from miRBase by way of RNAcentral.